CGUAGGGCGCGAGCGUUGUCCGGAAUUAUUGGGCGUAAAGAGCUCGUAGGCGGCUUGUCACGUCGGGUGUGAAAGCCCGGGGCUUAACCCCGGGUCUGCAUUCGAUACGGGCUAGCUAGAGUGUGGUAGGGGAGAUCGGAAUUCCUGGUGUAGCGGUGAAAUGCGCAGAUAUCAGGAGGAACACCGGUGGCGAAGGCGGAUCUCUGGGCCAUUACUGACGCUGAGGAGCGAAAGCGUGGGGAGCGAACAGGAUUAGAUACCCUGGUAGUCCACGCCGUAAACGGUGGGAACUAGGUGUUGGCGACAUUCCUCGUCGUCGGUGCCGCAGCUAACGCAUUAAGUUCCCCGCCUGGGGAGUACGGCCGCAAGGCUA
This 373-nucleotide ribosomal RNA is filed under the name uncultured organism. Its description in RNAcentral is "bacterial SSU rRNA". It matches the Rfam family "Bacterial small subunit ribosomal RNA", at positions 526 to 896 of the family's 1533-position model. The record is from RNAcentral.